RNA transcript from Labrus mixtus (cuckoo wrasse), 5456 nucleotides. It is a transcript of the gene named solute carrier family 25 member 14, with no coding region annotated. NCBI's taxonomy places the organism in Eukaryota, Metazoa, Chordata, Actinopteri, Labriformes, Labridae. The record is from RefSeq and is a predicted model, not a curated record. The transcript has 9 exons.
GUCCUUCUGGUGCUUCUAGCGGGGCUGCAGCAGGUGGAAGCAGCCGCUGCCGACAUGGACAACUUGAACUGGAAACCGUUCAUCUACGGCGGGAUGGCCUCGAUUGUCGCAGAAUUCGGGACAUUUCCUGUUGACCUGACUAAGACCAGGCUACAGGUUCAGGGUCAGUCCCAGUACACAGAGGUGCGCUACAGAGGAAUGUUUCACGCCCUCUUCAGGAUCGGCAAAGAGGAGGGCUGCCGGGCGCUCUACUCCGGGAUCUCUCCUGCUCUGCUCAGACAAGCCUCAUAUGGGACAAUCAAGAUCGGAACCUACAACUCUCUGAAGAGGCUGUUUGUCACUCAUCCAGAAGAUGAGACGAUGGUCAUCAACGUGUUCUGUGGCGUCGUUUCUGGCGUUCUGUCCUCCUCUCUGGCCAACCCCACCGACGUCCUCAAGAUCAGGAUGCAGGCGCAGGGCAGUCUGCUCCAAGGCAGCAUGAUGUCCAACUUCAUCAACAUCUACCAGACGGAGGGAACCAGAGGGCUGUGGAGAGGUGUCAUACCCACAGCACAGCGAGCAGCCAUUGUUGUUGGGGUGGAACUUCCUGUUUAUGACAUCACCAAGAAGCACCUCCUCCACUCAGGCGUGAUGGGAGACACCAUUUUGACACACUUUAUUUCCAGUUUCACGUGCGGGUUGGCGGGAGCUCUGGCGUCCAACCCCGUGGACGUGGUGCGGACCCGGAUGAUGAACCAGCGGGUUUCGUCGGGAGCCCCCAUGUACAAAGGGACGCUGGACGGACUGAUGCAGACGUGGAAGAACGAGGGUUUCUUCGCUCUCUAUAAGGGAUUCUGGCCAAACUGGCUCAGACUGGGGCCUUGGAACAUCAUCUUCUUCAUCACCUUCGAGCAGCUGAAGAAGCUCCCAUUCUAAAGCGUGCAGGAUGUGGGACUUCACUGGUCUGUCAAACUGUGUCGGGGGGGGGGGGACCUGGAGUUUCAGCACCUGUAUAAUCACACUCCCUUUUCAAAUCCAUACCAAUGAUACAGCCGAGUAUCCUCCAUCCGCUCAUGCUCAUCCAAAUCUUCUGUUAUCUUAUUCUUUUGCAAAGUGUUUUAUUUAUUGUGACUGGUUCUUUUUUUUUGUUUUUUUGAAGGACAUUUUUAAAGACUGUCGCUUCGAUGAUCACUCCCACCCUCAGCCUCCUUCGACACUCCCCAGGCAGCUAGGUUUGGUUGUAGCAAAAGAUUUUAAACUUUGAGAGAGUAGGUUUUUUGUUUGUUUUUCUUACUUGAUCCUAAAGGAAACACAGGAGCUCAGUGGAUCAGGUGAGCUCGGCUCAGUGGAUCAGGUGAGCUCGGCUCAGUGGAUCAGGUGAGCUCGGCCCUCUUUACAUUUCCUCUAGAUUCCUACGCAGAUCUGGAGGAAAGAAAAACAUUGGAAAUUAAUUUAUUUUUAGUAACGAUAGGAGUUGCUGAAUGUCACUCGAGACAUGCAUGGCUAGUUUGUAAUUAUUUUUUUUUUUAAAGGAACAGAAAAUGAACUUUCAAAAUGGAGGAUGUGUAGGAACCCUGUGUUUUUUUAUGUCAUAGGCACUGCAUGAAAUGUGUUGAAUGUUGAGGGAUCGCAUGGAAGGACAACAAACUGUUACAGCGUGUUAAAGAGGCGGAUUUAAGACAAAGUUCAUCGUGACAGAAAAGAGGAGAUAAUCCUCUUCACUCCAAAAUGUAUCUCCGUAAAGAAAGGUCAGGGUCUUUGUUUCAUUAAAGUGUCAAAAAUGGGUCAGAAAGCCCCUCAAAAUGUCACAGUGCAGUUUCUGACUUUGGGCCAUUUGACAGGAAAUCUCUCAGAACUGCCGCCUGAUUUUAAAGCUGAGGAAAACAGUAUUUAUUGUUUGUUUUUUAUUGUUGUGUUCAUAACGAGCUACUGAAGUUUUACUUGAAACCAAUCAGGAAUCUCAACCAAAGCAUUUAAUGACAACAGUGAGACACACACACACACACACACACGACCAAAACAAAAAUGUUAACUCUCCUUUUAAAUAACUUUCAAGGAAACACUCCAGGGACCUGUUUCAGAAAUAAGGGUUCAACAAACUCUCAGUCUAACCCCGGGGCUCUGAGUUGAUUUAACCCUCAGGAGGGAAACUCUGAGUUUCUGCUUUCAGAACAGACCCGAUUACGUUCACAGACUCGGUUACCAUAGUAACAGACUCAGAGCUAAAGUUACCUCUCUCUCUGGAACGGGCUUGAGUUACCCCAUUUCUGAAACGUCAAACCCAGAGUUUCCCUCAUUUCAGGGUUAACUGACUCGGGUCUUUCUGAAACGGGCCUCAGGUCGGACACCGUUAAUUAAAGUGUUUGUUUUUGCUUUAGACAUUAGUUAUGUGUUGCACCUCCGGUCUGCUGCUGAAGUAGGAACAAAUGGUUUGCACACAAAGUGAUGUUCCAUAAUUUCAAUAUCGACUGAAAUAAAUCAAUCCAGUAUGUCUUGAAAAGCCUCGUUCAGACUCACUCAGAGUGGGAUGUAUUUGUUACACGCAUUGUAGAAAGUGGAUGUAAACCCAGUUCAAAAAUAGAGCUUCUGCAGUGGUACACCAAUUAAAGUGUAGGGACCAGAGGAGAGUUUCUUUAUGCUUUAUUUCUCAACAACUUGAUUCCACUUGUGACAAGCAUAGUAGUCAGAUGAUUUAACUCUUAAAGAAAAAGGAAAACAAUAAUCAGGGCCACACCAGUAAAUCAAAUUACGUAGUAACUAAACAAUCUCAUAAAUGCACAAAAUCAUAUAUUUACACAUCAAGUACUCACUCAAACAAUGCAUCUAUCAGAGUCACAAUAGAGUUGUCAGCCUGUCAUGCAGCUCAGCAGUGUGAAGCAAACAGAAGGAGUGAGCAUGGCCUGCUGCAGGUGUGGCCUGAUUGGUUAAGACUAGGCUUAAAGGGGAAGUGGGAUCUGCAACACGCAUGUUCAAGUCCACAUAGGAUGCCUUGCUGUGCUUUUUAAACUUUUACAUUUAUCUGAAGAGAACGCUUAAGGUCAUCGCACACUCAGUCCAUUUUUUUCAUUCAAGACUGAAACUUUCGUCCGUCAUUUUUUUUUCUGUAACAUUUUCCUGCGUGUGUGCGUGUGCGUGUGUGUGUGUGUCCACAGUGAAAGUCCUCGCUCUUGUCUUGUUGUCAUGGCGAUCUCGCUGCACGAUGAGUACGACACGUUUUGUCUCAUACUGUGAAUUUUGCAAUUCAUGGAAAUGUAAACGCAGCGGACUCAAAGUGCUAGUUCUCCGUGUUUAAUGUUGUUGGGGUUUGUUCGGAUUACGGAUCCAAAAAACACCAGAAAAAAACGGACUCGGUGUGCAAAGACCAUAAGAAGGGUUUGUUUGCAGCUACUUUGAGUCUGUGUUUAAGUUGUUGUGCAGGAGGAAAUCUUUGCUGGAACUUAUCCAAAAGUCAGAAGAAGUCGUCACACUGACAAAGUGAAGAUCUGCAGAAAGCAGACUCGUGAAAAGAAACGAUGGCAUCUUUCACACAGCAAGAAAGUGGUGAUGUGGAAAUGUUUGAAUAUCCAGCAGGGCGAGCUAAAAACUGCAAAACAGACCAUUAGCAUAGCAUAGCAUAUCGAAUGAAAUGGAUGUCCAGUCUUUCACUUUUUAAGGUUUAAAGUUAAUUACCAUCUUGUAUUGAGAUUGUUUCAUCGUCCAGCCCUCAAUGUUUGAGUUUUGUAGAUCACAAUCACCCAACUCUGUCCACGUAAAACAGACCAAAUGCUUUUUUUAUAUCACUUAUUAUAUUUCUUUAUGGGAAGCCAUUAACUUAAAGGAGCAGUAUGUAACUCUGCCCCCUAGUGUUUAAAAUGGGUACUGCAGUCUAAAUUCUAAACAUCAUAUAGAGCUGUCUCUCCCCCCCCCCCCCCCCCUCUCUAGAGUCCAUGCUCACACAGGUCACCAUGUGGUGGACUCUGAAGCUUCAGUGUUUAUCCAGCUCUGCAUGGGUCUGUAAACCUUUCUGUGUUCUAACCUCUCUCCAUUUUUCAAAAGCAUCUCCAAUAUUGAUCCUAGUUUGAGCACGUUUCUGCUCGUGGAGCUUAUUAGAAACAUGCAGAGGCUUUUUAGGUCGGGUACAAUCACUUCUAUCUGAACCACUUCUCUUGCCCGCUUCCAUCGCUGCAACACCUGUUGACCUGAUAACUGCUCUCAUAUCUGGCAAACCGAGGGGCGUCCAAAACGGCCGUGUGGGGGGCGUGUCUUAAAAGCGCCUACCUUCUCUGGUCCAAACAAAUCCAGAGCAUUCAGAAGCAGAAUCUAAAGUUAGAAGGAGGACAUACUGGCUGCUGCAUUGUUGUCAGAGAAGCCAGCACUUCAACAUGUUUCCUUAAUGAUCAGAUAGUAACUUUAUCAUCUCAGUAAAUAUCGUACAGAUUGGUCCUUUAACAGAAAUCCUUCUUAUACAUGAAUCUAUAAAUUGUGUGCAAUAAGUAAUCGAAUAGAAGUGGAGUUAUGAGCUCACUUUCUCGUCCACUUGCACCUCCAAACCUUUUUUUAUCUUUAUCUUAUCUUAUAUUUUAGUAGCCCCUCCCCCAGGUGGGUGACACUCCCACAGCUAGGUGUUUGUUCUGCCCUCUGAGUCUGCCUUCUCACCGUAAACAAUAGGACAUGGAGCGAGAAAGACCGAGACACCCAAGCCCUUCCAGAGAGGGGGCGUGGUCAGACACAGCUCAUUUACAUAUUUAAAGGUACAGACACAGAAACAGCCUGUUCUGAGCAGGGCUGAAAUAGAGGGGUUUAUAGACAUGAUCAAAUACAGGAUCAGAGUGGAUUUAGAACAAGAAACUUCACACACAUGUUUUGAGGAGCUCUGACACUUAUUUAAAGUGUUUAAAAAAACAGGAUAAUGUUUUGCCACCAGAAGAAGAUUGUUUUAGGAAACUGUAAACCCUCUCAUAGUAAAGUGGGAUUUUUGUACUUUGUCUUCAGCUCUUGAUUGUGUCACUCUUAGACUGACCGCAGGAAAGACGUCACAGGGCACCUUUGAGAGUUCGCCGUGACAACAGUGAUUAUUUCCUCGCUUAUAUGAAAUAUGAAUAAAUAUGUUUAUGGUUUAAAAGCAGCAGUAGAGCUCCAUCUGCUAAAGAAAGUUAACGUCUGUUUUUAAAGGUCACUUCUUCCUCUUCAAAGGCGUCAAUCUGAAUAUUAAUAUGUUCUGAUUUUAAAGUAAUUUGAGGGUUAAACUUUUUAUUGACUGAAAAACGUGUGUGUGAGUCGGAAAGAAGAGAAAAAUCGAUGAAUACUUUUGUACAUGUUCCCUUCACUUCCUCUUAUUAUUUGCACUUUGGUGUAUCGACGCUGUCUAUAAACAAUCGUACUUUCUUCUCUUGAUGAUUUUUUUAUGGUGGAUUUUUUUUCCCUCUUUGACAGAAUGGGUUUGGCUUUGUAUAAAUUAAGUGUUCACUGAAAUAAAAUAUACGCUGUGUUUGCAUCUG